RNAcentral lists this ribosomal RNA (403 nucleotides) under uncultured prokaryote. Its description in RNAcentral is "bacterial SSU rRNA". It matches the Rfam family "Bacterial small subunit ribosomal RNA", at positions 355 to 776 of the family's 1533-position model. The record is from RNAcentral.
UGGGGAAUAUUGCACAAUGGGCGAAAGCCUGAUGCAGCAACGCCGCGUGAGCGAUGAAGGCCUUCGGGUCGUAAAGCUCUGUCCUCAAGGAAGAUAAUGACGGUACCUGCAGAAUAAGCUCCGGCUAACUACGUGCCAGCAGCCGCGGUAAUACGUAGGAGCAAGCGUUAUCCGGAUUUACUGGGUGUAAAGGGCGCGUAGGCGGGAAUGCAAGUCAGAUGUGAAAUCUGGGGGCUCAACCCCCAAACUGCAUUUGAAACUGUAUUUCUUGAGUGAUGGAGAGGCAAGUGGAAUUCCUAGUGUAGCGGUGAAAUGCGUAGAUAUUAGGAGGAACACCAGUGGCGAAGGCGACUUGCUGGACAUUAACUGACGCUGAGGCGCGAAAGCGUGGGGAGCAAACAGG